UUAAAAUUGAUUUUAUCUGUUUCUUUUUACUUUUUUAAUGUGGUUAUACGGAAAUUUAAAAUUACAUACAUGACUGCAUAUUAUUUAUAUUGGACAGCACUGUUCUGGGUGAUUCCCCAUCCAUUGGACUCACUCCUUGCCACCUGUGUUUUCCCAGGUGAGACCCCAGGCAUCAUGGAGCAGACAAGCCAUCCAUACUGUGCCCUGUAUGGAUUUCUGUCUCAUAGAAUUUGUGUUCCACAUCACAGGAUCAGAGGAGCCCCAGUCAGGAAGUUAGCGUUAUGAAGGACAGGCAGAAGCAAGACACCCGCAGGAAGCAUAUGUAAAUGUAAAAGAGUGAUGACUGAGCAUGUGGGUGAGGUGAGACCCCAGGCAUCAUGGAGCAGAGACAAGCCAUUCCUUCUGUGCCCUGCAUGGAUUUCUGACUCAUAGAAUUUGUGUUCCACAUCACAGGAUCAGAGGAGCCCCAGUCGGGAAGUUAGGGUUAUGAAGGACAGACUGAAGCAAGACACCUGCAGGAAGCUUAUGUAAAUGUAAAAGAGUGAUGACUGAGCAUUUGGGUGAGGUAAGGAGUAGGGUCAAAAGAUAUGAAUGAUACAGACCAUCCCUUGCUUCCCUCCAAUAUGUUUGUGCCUUUGUUUUGUCAAAUCCAUUAGAAAGCCUCCUUCAGAUGGUUUUAUUAGUUCUUUCAGGUAAAUGGAACCCUAUACUAGUGCAUCAUCAUUGUCCCCAUCCUUCCUAGGAACCUAGCAGAGCCUAAUCCAACUUAAUCCAGCAAAGCCUAAUGUUGCAGGGAUGGGAACCACAAAUAGAUCAAGGGGAAUCAUGGAGAGAGGGACCAAUCCUACAUUAAUUCCUUGGUUCCUAUAUGUUCUAGUUACUGGGGCCAUGGCAUCAUCUAUCGUCUUUUAGUUUAGUGCAUAUAUUGCAUUGUGG
Myotis myotis is the source of this 936-nucleotide long non-coding RNA. RefSeq lists it as uncharacterized. The record is from RefSeq and is a predicted model, not a curated record. Lineage: Eukaryota; Metazoa; Chordata; Mammalia; Chiroptera; Vespertilionidae. The transcript has 4 exons.